RNAcentral lists this long non-coding RNA (8264 nucleotides) under Brassica rapa (field mustard). Its description in RNAcentral is "long non-coding RNA (BRAP_LNC002703)". The record is from RNAcentral. Lineage: Eukaryota; Viridiplantae; Streptophyta; Magnoliopsida; Brassicales; Brassicaceae.
CAUCAAGCACAAUGGCAACAUUUCGUUUGAUGACGUGAUCGAGAUCGCUAGGAUCAUGAGGCCUAGGUCGAUUGCGAAGGAGCUGAGCGGGACUGUGAGGGAGAUUCUGGGGACGUGUGUGUCUGUUGGGUGCACUGUUGAUGGGAAGGACCCCAAGGAUCUUCAGCAGGAGAUUCAGGAGGGUGAGAUUGAGAUCCCUGAGAACUAAUGAAUCAAAAGAAAAGAAAUUAUCUUUUUAGUUUUGAGUUGUUGUUGCGUUUUGUUAUCUUUGUUUAAGAAUAUUUUGUGGUUUUGAUUAUGAGAAUUUGAAAUUGCGUUUGAUGUUCUAUGCUAUUGGUAUCUACAAAGUUUUGAGCUUUGAUCUGUUUUGGUUUUGGUUUGGUUCUUCAUCAUUAUUUUUUUGCUUAUGGAUGGUAGAAAGAUGGGGCAUUUUCAGGCUUUUUGAUUUGAUUUCUAGACUGGUUCUUGUUCACCGCAUAGGUAUUAGUGCUAAGCUUUCAACACUGGUUCUUGUUCAUCUUAACUCUUCGCUCUUCAUGUUGAUUAUCAUUAGGGUUUAUGUUAGUUUGCUUCCGAUACUAUGUCAAUGCUAAGUGAAGGUUUUGCAUGAAUUGUGAGUGGAGAUAACAUGGUCAUUUGACUUCAUGGAAAGAGUUUCUGGCUGAAUUAUUCCAAAUACGGUUCUUUGUCAGCAAAAGAAAACAUUCUUGUGAGUUCUUGUCUGUUUGUUAGAGAUUGCUUUCUCUGUUAUGUGAUGUUUAUAAAGUCUUGAUCUCCUCCAUAUUGUUCUUGUUUGAUUUUUUUGUAUAUUUUCAACUGGCGCAUGUGUAGAUUAAUCAUGCUCUUGCAAGUCAGAUUUAAUCAUCUAAACUUUUCAACUCCGAGAACAUGAUUAGGGGUUUAGGUCUUCCUAACUUUUGAAUCAAAAAAUAAGAUUGGAAGAUGUUCAUAAUCUAAGCUAAGAAUAAAUGAUUUUUAAGAUCAAGGAAGAUUUAAAUGUGAAAAAGUUGUGUUCUCAAUAUUACUAGAGAGAGCUUCAAGCUGGUGAAGUGGUUUGUUUCUUCAAGCAAUAUUUUGUGACAACCUACCUUACUCACUCUCAUACUUGUGGCCUUGAAGUAGAACACCAUCACUCGAUGUUGCACCCAAAAAAAAAUCACUUAGUAGAUGUUAACUGGUCUUCAAUAAAAUCUACUCUUCAGAUCACCUCUUACCCUCCCCGCAAAAUCAUAUGCCAUAUCAAUGGCUUGUGUCAACCCAAAUGAACUUUGGAGUGAAUAACAAACCUCUGUGAGGCUUCUAACAACUGAUCGUUGCCACGUUGCUCCUCCUCUGUUUGUACAGAAUCAGCUUCCCAGUGUUCUUGCUUGUGGUCGAUAUGCGAAACUCAAGUUACUAACAACCUUACGUCAAAUGACACUUCUAUUCUAGCUUUUCCUUCAAUCCUUCUAAAAGUGUUUGAUAUAUCCUCAGCAUACUUUGGUACUGUAUGAAGAGUUCGGGUCUUGUGGUUAGUUGAAUAAACAGAACUUUAAAACCAGUAGAAACACACAACAUAGCAACUUCAUUGAAAACCACGUACACAGUUCAUAAUGGCGACUGCUUAUUUUAGAUGAAACCAUAGAAGCGCCCGGUCGCUGGAGCUAACUUCUGUGGCUUUGCUCUUACAUAUGAGCAAAUAUUGUAGCAAACAUAGAAAAAACAAUACAACAUAAUUUAUCAAACAACAUAGUUUUAAUUUUUUUAAGCUUCUUUUAGCUGAAGCUCUUAGUCUUCCCACCACUGAUGAACAAAGACGCCACUGCUUCUGAGGCUCUUUAUAACACUGUUGCAGUCUCCGUACCCAUUGCAGUGAAGAAACAGCUCAUCAACUGAACAUAUCGCACCUGUCUUUAUCAGCUCUGAGAGAAACUUCAGCUCGGCUUCGCUUGUGUUCAUCUUCAGAACCAAGAAAUCAGCAAAGCUUGCUGUUUCCUUGAACCAUGCUAGAAAAUCAAAGCUGUCAUCUUCUACAAAAGGUUCUUCUUCUUCCUCUCCACGACUAGCCACUGUUCCCGCGAGUCCCGGAUGGUAGAUGAAGGUUACACCAGGACUUUUGACAUAAGAAGUCAAUAUAGAUGUGUUGUGAUGCACAAAGUAGCUGUUAAAAGCUUUCUUGUCGAUAGGGUAUGACGGGAAGAACCAAUCCGACCUCGGUGUGAGAUGAUCCGCUGCUCCAAUAUCAAUAUAAACCAGCCUCUUCCUAGAAGAGACGUCAAUAAACUCAGGCAAGUAAUGGAUCCUUCUCUCAAAAUCAGAACGUUUCUCCUCGAGAAGAGGCUCUAAUAACCCAAUGUAGGGUCUGCUAUUAAGCACAGACGAGCAAUCACCCGGAAGGUGAUGAUGAUGAGACUGAUCCAAACCGAAACUAUCUUCACCAUGUCUCCUGAACACAAUCAAAACCUGCUCACCUAAGGAAGCAACAUGAACAACACUCGAGUUCUUGAGCAGAGAAGAAACAGGCGAGACGGAUCUAACCAACCCGUUAGAGUCAGACCCAACAAGCAUAGCUCCGGUUCCACCGGGCUUAAGCACACGCUCGAUUUCGUAAACAAGUGAAGCAGGGACAGAAACCGUCUCAAGAUCCAUAGAAAAGACAAACCCGAAAGAAGCAUCAUCAUAACGUAGCUCACUAGUGAACUUCCUGUGCUUGAAAGCAAAAACAGGCGGCGCGUGGCUCACGCGAGCAUCGGAGAUCCCUUGUAGGUUCAUAGCGAGAAGAGCUGAAACCGAUCUCCGGCCAAUACAGAGAGCUCUCGCGUCGUUACGCAGCAAGUUCAAACCUUUAAGCUCGGCGACGACUUGAGUAGUCAAGUCGAUGUUCUUCUUACACUUGUCCGACUCUAUAAAGUUCCAGACAGGCUUAAGGAAGGUGCUGGAGAGGAAGCCGUUGCCGGAGAAGAGGAACGGACCGAGGAACGCGAAGUUCACCGCGCAGUCAUCGACCUUACGCGGGCGGUGGUGGAGGUGAGUCUCUCCUUGGUAUGCUCCGUUGAGGUUUCGUAUGAUGGAUACGACGGAGAAAGCGAAAACGAUCACGAGAGCGCGUAGGAUCACGCGCCUACGGAAGGAGGUGGGCGUUAGUUUCAGCUCAACGCCCAUGGCGAGGAAGAAGAAGAGAAGAGGAAUCCAACAGUUAAAACAAGAAUCGGAUCUUUACUUACUCAGAAAGAGAGAUUCAAUUUAGGAGGAAGGAAGAAGGAUUUAGCGAGUGCAAAACCUGGAGGAGGUAUGGUUUCCACCCACGAGGAUAACUAUUGUGUUUUGUAAACAUAACCACACCCUUCUCGGUUCUCUUCUCUGCAUCUCAUCCAUUUUUUUUUCUGUUUCACCCAACCAUCAGAGAUCUAAUCUUACAUGGUACGUGUAUGAUCCACUUCGAUGAUGAUGUUUCUUCUCUUUAUUUCUAAGGCGAGAUUUGGGAAUUAGGGUUUUGAGAUUGGGAAUCUGAAGAGUGAGAUAAGGCAACGAGAGAUCUGUGAUUCUCUCGGAAGCAAAGAGAUGAAGUAAUAAAGUGACUACUGCGAAGAAGAGAGAGUGUGUGUGUGAUGACGUUAUCAUGCCACGUGGUUCGCGUGAAGCCCUUCGAUGUGUAACUGAAUGUUAUGGCAUUAUUAAUAUGCACAACUCCCGAUGGACUGAUAAUUCAGAUUAAGAAAGAGAUUACGUCAAAAUAAAUGUUUAUUGGCGAUAAUUCUGAAGAAAUGGUAUAAACUUUCUUUUUUUAUAUAUAUAUACUUCCAUUAGUCUCGAGUUUAUUCUUCUCUAAUUUAUUAGUUUAAAAAUCACGAAAGUAGCGGUUUCAAUCUAAGUAAACCAAUUCGAUUCGGAACCUAAUCGAUCAAACCGAUCCGGGUGGACCAAGCCUUACAGUUUUUCACAUGUCUGUCUUAAUAAUACUAAUUAGGGUGGCUUAUUUAAUAGGUGGUGUGGCUUAUAGUUCGGAGAGUGAAUCCAAUCCACCGACACUCGAGAUAUCGACGUUAUACGAUUCUGUGAAUUGGGAGCAAUAAUUAUCGGCGGAGAAUCGAAAAAGAAUAUUUCUUGCAAUUAUUGUAUUUUGUUACAGCUGUCUUGAAUCUUGAGUGGUACCUAGACAUCACUAGCUUAAGCUAAAGCUGAAUAGAGAGAGCAACAGCAACAAAAAAAAAGACAUUAUUGCAUUUGCAACUAAUCUCGGGUUAUCCUUUUAGAAUUUGUAAGUAAACUCAUUUUAACCACUCAUGUGUGGUGGGACAGUAAUAAGGUUUUCAAACACCUUUACGUACGUAUCUAUACAUAGUUCAUGACACUUUGAGAGUUGAGACUAGGAACUAAUUGUUAUUAGAACUGAACACGGAUCCGGGAGAGAGCAAUAAUACCCCUACUAUGAGUUUAGGAAGCCUUUGGAAAAACUGUGUAUAAUCAAAAAAUAAUACCCCUACUAUAGCAACUAAUUCUACUUUUACUUCCAGCAAAAACUGCCAAUUUAUAAAAGUGCGGCGAAAAACGCUCUGGCGACGGCGAUGGCGAUAUAUUUCUAGGGUUUUGAUGAUUGAUCGAGAUUGGGAUCCGGGAUCUCAGAGGAAGAUUGGGGAUCGAGGAGAUCUAUGGCUUGGGGGAAGGGAAAGCAAAUCGAAUUCGUCUAUUGGAGAUUCGGAUUUUGAUUCGUUAGCGAUAACAUUGAGGGGUGAUCCACAGGCUUUCCAUAGGUUGGGAAGAAGGAUCGCGGUUGUUAGGAAAUCGUUAUUAUUGGGAUCUUUCAUAUGGAUGCAGUAUCCAGAAGAUCAAUCAUACGAAUUACAAGGUAUGGGAUUUGGUAUAAUCGAAAGAUCCUCUUUCGCUUCUAUUUUGGAAAGUGGUAAUCUGUCUUCCCGAUUACAUCAUUUUUUAGGGGGAAAAAUAUGGAGGCACUUGGAUUUUAAAGGGAUUUUUCUUCGUGGUUUGGGGGUUUUCAAUUUAACGUAUGGAGGUUGGUGCGUUAAGGAUAUUAGGUUUUUGCAGGAGAAACAAAAAUUGUUUUCAAACAUUCUUAAGAUUAGCUUGAAUGUACUUAAAGGUGAUAUCUUUUAUUUUCUUCGUAUGAGUAUCUUGUUUGAAGGAAAGGGGAUGCGAGGAAUGAAUGUGGGAGUCGAUAAUUGUAUGCUGUCACGAACUCAAUGUAUCUUUCACAGGUUGGCAAGGUCUUGCAGAUGGGUAAGGGCUUAUGGGGUGGAGCGUAACCAAGAACGAGAAGGGUGGGAUGCUCGAUCUCACGGUAAUGGAUGGUUUCUGCAAAUUCAAAUCCCAAAUGAAUGUUGGGUUAUAGGGUUUGAGGUUUUAUUUGGUGCAUGGAGGCUUGCAUUAGGGAUUGCAAUAUUGGCACUUUGUCUCUUCCCUAGCAGGAACAAAGAUAUACGGUGUCUGGAUAGUAGGUUGAGCAAGUAUUGGGUCAAGCUAACAGUAAAGAAUUACGUCUUUUUGGUUUGUAUAUAUAUUGGUCUUUGGGAUUAUGAUAUUGUUGGAGGCACAUUUGGUCGGUCUUGUUACUAUAUGGUUUGGAUUUGUGAUUGGGCCUACUUAUAUAUGGAUCGAGAAUUCUUGUAUUUUAUGGACAUGCUAUGUGUAUUGGUUCUACGGCAACUGGUAAUUAGGAGCUUUUUGUUGUUAUUUCAGAUAGUAAUUUAUAUGGUAUUUGGGAAAAUAAUGAAUUACAAGAGGCGAUUGGAGUUUGGCAAUUUGUGUUUGUUUAGAUAUUUUCCUAAUAUUUUACUUGCUCACAGGAUAUACAAGUGGUUUCUUUGGAGGCUUCAAGGAAUUUUUUUAAGGGAGGGAGUGGAGACAGUCCUUUUAUCAUGGGGUUUAGAAAUUUUAGGGUCUCAUUAUACCCAAUUUAGCCAGCUCAGCAGAGCCUUUCUAUAUUUUUUUAAAUGAGAGUACUAAGUUGGAAUUGCAGAGGAAUGGGAAGUAAGUGGAGUAUAAGUUAUUUAACAGAGAUAUGGCAUAAACAUAAACCUAAUUUUUUAUUUUUAUCGGAAACAAAACAAGAAUUUGAGCUUGUCCAGAAAUUUCAAGCUCAUUUCGGAUUUGAUAAUCUGGUCACAGUGGAUCCAGUGGGACGAAGUGGUGGAUUGGCGCUUUAUUACAAUAAUGAGUUCCAGGUUAAUAUUCUAUAUUCAAGUAAUCGAAUGAUAGAUGUAGAAGCAGUGGCGUUGGGAAAAACGGUAUAUAUGACGUUUGUGUAUGGAGAUCCAGUUCAAGAUUUGCGAGAACGAGUGUGGAAACAUUUAACUAGAUAUGGAAUUUCCCGAUCCGAGCCAUGGUUUAUUAUUGGUGAUUUAAAUGAGAUUACAGGAAAUCAUGAAAAAGAAGGUGGAGCUUUGAGAAGUGCGAAUUCAUUUGUUCCUUUUAACAACAUGAUAAGGAAUUGUGGUUUACUGGAGUUUCCUGCCAAAGGAAAUAAAUUGUCAUGGCAAGGAAGAAGAGGGAAAGGAAAAGGGGCAGUAACGGUUAGAUGUCGUUUAGAUCGAGCAUUGGCAAAUGAGGAGUGGCACACGCUAUUUCCUUGUUCCUAUACAGAAUAUUUAGGGUUGGUGGCAUCGGAUCAUCGUCCAGUGGUGGCUUACAUAGAAACUAAAGUUAUCAGGAGAAAAGGACAAUUUAGGUUUGAUAAAAGGACAAUUUUGGUUCUCGGGUAACAUUUUCAUCUUGUAGAUAUUUAGUUAUUUCUCGUAUUUGUUUGAUUUUGGGUAUUUUUGUGUUCUGAUUUUUUGGUUUUUCAGAUUCUUUAGAUCUUUUUGUCCUAAAUACUCGAACUGAGUUAGACUCAUUACGUAACCAAAUUACAUCAUAAAUUUUAUAAAUACUUGAAUCAUUGACUCAAACUGACCUGGAACUAAAAAGAACUGAUAUGAACAAAAAAUUGAAAUACCUAGUUAUAUAUAAAUGCCCAAGACCCAAAGAACUUGUACCUCAAAGAAACCGAUUUAUAUUUGAUCUGAAGACCCAAAUGCCCAAAUCUAACCUUUCAUUAUAUUUUGUGCAUUUUAUAAAAAUUACAUUUGUUCAGUUGGUGAAACUUAAGAUUUAUUUGAGAAGUUUUUGGCUAAUUUAAUAGUAUAGAUUUGUAGGUUUUUUGUUGAGCAGUAAAAAAAAGAUUUGUUGGGUUUUUGAUAAUUUUAAACUUAUCUUAAAUACUAAAUUGUUUUUUUAUCAAUAUAAUAAAAUUUACAUAAUAUAUAAUUUUUAAACUUAUCUUAAUUAUGAAGUUAAUGAGACAUAUUUAGAGAAGAAUAUAAUAAAGUGUACAUAUAUUAUAUUUUCGUGAACCAAAUUUAUGUGAUCGUAUAUAUAUGAUAUAUCUUUUCGUUUUCAAUAUUAUUAAUUAAUGAAAAGGUCCGAACAACAUUUUUAAGUAAUUUAUUAAAACUUGUCCGUUUUAGUAGUAUUCAUUUCUGCUUAAGUGCUUGAGUUAAGCCCAUAUAUAUUUGAGUUGGGUUGUGUCACGAGAGGAUAAAUUCGUAACUUACAUCGGGGCGCAAAUAUAAGCCCAUUAGGUUUCAACCUCAGCUUCUUCAAAAACCCUAAAAUCUCAUUUUCACUUCACUGCGCCUCCCACACUCAACAAAACAAGAGCCGAAACCACAAACUCUAACAACCAUGCCGCCCAAGUUGGACCCGAGCCAGAUCGUCGACGUCUACGUCCGCGUGACCGGAGGAGAAGUCGGAGCCGCCAGUUCCCUCGCCCCCAAGAUCGGUCCCCUCGGUCUCGCCCCAAAGAAGAUCGGAGAAGACAUCGCCAAGGAGACAGCCAAAGAGUGAAAGGACUCCGCGUCACCGUCAAGCUCACCGUUCAGAACCGUCAGGCGAAAGUCACGGUGGUUCCGUCCGCCGCUGCUCUCGUCAUCAAGGCCUUGAAGAGCCGGAGAGAGACAGGAAGAAGGUGAGAGAACAUCAAGCACAAUGGCAACAUUUCGUUUGAUGACGUGAUCGAGAUCGCUAGGAUCAUGAGGCCUAGGUCGAUUGCGAAGGAGCUGAGCGGGACUGUGAGGGAGAUUCUGGGGACGUGUGUCUCUGUUGGGUGCACUGUUGAUGGGAAGGACCCCAAGGAUCUUCAGCAGGAGAUUCAAGAGGGUGAGAUUGAGAUCCCUGAGAACUAAUGAAUCAAAAGAAAAGAAAUUAUCUUUUUAGUUUUGGGUUGUUGUUUCGUUUUGUUAUCUCUGUUUAAGAAUAUUUUGUGGUUUUGAUUAUGAGAAUUUGAGAUUGCG